Molecule: signal recognition particle RNA, 145 nt
Filed under: Otolemur garnettii (small-eared galago)
Lineage: Eukaryota; Metazoa; Chordata; Mammalia; Primates; Galagidae
Description: Metazoan signal recognition particle RNA
Rfam family: Metazoan signal recognition particle RNA
About the family: The signal recognition particle (SRP) is a universally conserved ribonucleoprotein. It is involved in the co-translational targeting of proteins to membranes.
Source: Rfam by way of RNAcentral
GCCGGGUGUUGUGGUGGACACCUGUAGUCCCAGCUACUUGGGAGGCUGAGGGAGGAUGAUCACUUGAGCUCAGGAGUUUGAGGUUGCUGUGAGCUGGGAUGCCACAGUAAUCUAGCCUGGGUAACAGAGUGAGACUCUGUCUUAA